GAGACCUUUAAGGGACAGGAAGAGUCACUGUUUGGCACUGUGGAGUAACAAAGAUCCCUAAGGAGAUACCUGGUUAAUCAGCAAACAACCUGAGGAAUACAAUCAAUUUUAGCAACCAUUGUGGAAGUUGCUGACAGUUCAGAGGUCAACAAACUAUUUCUGUAAAUGAAUAAAUUGGAAAUGCUUCAGGCUUUGCAUGCC
Octodon degus (degu) is the source of this 201-nucleotide long non-coding RNA. RefSeq lists it as uncharacterized. The transcript is spliced from 3 exons. NCBI's taxonomy places the organism in Eukaryota, Metazoa, Chordata, Mammalia, Rodentia, Octodontidae. The record is from RefSeq and is a predicted model, not a curated record.